AUGUCAGUUGGCCUAUCAUAAUUAUAAUACAACUUUCAACAACGGAUCUCUUGGCUCUCGCAUCGAUGAAGAACGCAGCGAAAUGCGAUAAGUAAUGUGAAUUGCAGAAUUCAGUGAAUCAUCGAAUCUUUGAACGCACCUUGCGCUCUUUGGUAUUCCGAAGAGCAUGCCUGUUUGAGUGUCAUGACAUUAUCAAACCA
RNAcentral lists this ribosomal RNA (200 nucleotides) under Pseudobaeospora wipapatiae. Its description in RNAcentral is "5.8S ribosomal RNA". The stretch from base 31 to 184 matches the Rfam family "5.8S ribosomal RNA". From Rfam's summary of the family: 5.8S ribosomal RNA (5.8S rRNA) is a component of the large subunit of the eukaryotic ribosome. It is transcribed by RNA polymerase I as part of the 45S precursor that also contains 18S and 28S rRNA. Functionally, it is thought that 5.8S rRNA may be involved in ribosome translocation. Lineage: Eukaryota; Fungi; Basidiomycota; Agaricomycetes; Agaricales; Tricholomataceae. The record is from RNAcentral.